AAAUUAGCUUUUUAUAAAAAUGCUCGUAACUGCAUAAAUAUUUUAACUGCAUUAACAAAAUUUUAUGCAGUCAUUGCAAAUAACAACUAAAGUAAUCUAUACAAGCUUACAGCUUGAUUUUCUGGCAUAGAGUGUUCAAAAACACUUGUUUUCUUUCGUAAUUUACUGUCGGUCCCUGAAAGUUUUAAACUUUAUUGCUAAGUAUAAAAAAAUUGCAUUAACCUCUAAAGUUACAACAUAAUCUUCUAAGUAUUUAAAAAAUUGUGAGAAUGGCAGAUAUGUAAAGGGUUAAUUUUUUUUAGCAUAUAGAAUUACUUAACUUUUCGCUAUCUCACCUCCUCUAUUCUAGUUGCAACUCUAUUGAUCCUGCAGUUAUUUGUUCUAUGUAGAUGCACUGAUGAUGAUAGUCAGUAGAGAAAUUUAAAUCAAUUAUUAAGUGACCUCCAGCUAUGGUGUUUCUAAGAAAUGAAAAGCUGUUUUUUAAUGCAGCACACAUAAACAAUGUACAUGAAAACUUGAUUGCAAUAUCUUAUUAUUUAAACUGCUAAAUUGAAAUGUUAUGAUAGUAUGAAUAAAAUGAUUUUCCAAAGUA
Non-coding RNA from Parasteatoda tepidariorum (common house spider), 592 nucleotides. Lineage: Eukaryota; Metazoa; Arthropoda; Arachnida; Araneae; Theridiidae. The record is from RefSeq and is a predicted model, not a curated record.